This 7623-nucleotide long non-coding RNA is filed under the name Homo sapiens (human). Its description in RNAcentral is "non-protein coding lnc-SCRN1-4:1". The record is from RNAcentral. Lineage: Eukaryota; Metazoa; Chordata; Mammalia; Primates; Hominidae.
AUUAGCUAUAGCUGUUUUCCUACUUCUUCUAGCUAUAAUACUUCUGUUCUUCCGAUACUACAGCCUCCCAGGCUGUGAAUAUCUCUGUCCGUGCUGGGUUUAAUAUUUCUGCUGAAACCUUGUUAAUUGCCUCCAGAAUGGGAAACUCUUCUUCCCGGCCCCGUAGAGAUUGGAGCCCUUUCCAAUGUAUGUUACAAUGUACUUCUCUCUGGGCUUCUCAGAGGAUUACGGAGUCCACCUUAAAAAAGGCAAACUCCAGACACUCUGUGAAGUAGAUUGGCCACAAUUUGGAACCGGGUGGCCCCCAGAAGGGUCACUGAACCCCACAACUGUCCAGGCUCUGUGGCGGGUCGUUGCUGAAACUCCUGACACCCUAAUCAGUUUCCCUACAUUGAUCAAUGGCUAGAGUUGGUCCGGAGCCCUCCUCCAUGGCUCCGCUCAUGUGCCAUUCAUGAUCCCACCUCCAAGGUCCUUUGAGCCAGACCGCACUUCUGCCCAAACCCUCAGCUCCCUCGGCUCCUCCUGUAAUGCCUCCUUCUGAAGAAGAGGACAGCUGUAGGUCCACUGUCCUACAACCCUCCUGCUUCCCCAGAAUCUUCCCUUGUCUCCUCGACUACAUCCCCUGUGGCCUCUCCGCCUAUAGCCACCCGAUUGCAGCCUCGGCCGGAGGCAGUGGCCCCCCUCCUCCUGUUGAGAGAUGCCCAAAUCCCUCUGGAGAGUGAGCGCACUGCUCCAUUUUUAGUUUAUGUCCCCUUCUCUACUUCUGACCUGUAUAAUUGGAAGGCUCAUAAUCCCCCCUUCUCUGAAAAGCCCCAGGUCUUGACUUCACUGAUGGAGUCCGUGCUCUGGACUCACUGGCCCACCAGGAAUGACUGUCAGCAACUCCUUUUAACGCUUUUCACCUCUGAAGAGAGGGACCGUAUCCGAAGAGAGGCCAGAAAGUAUUUUCUCACAUCAGCCGGUAGACCAGAGGAGGAAGCCCAGGACCUCCUUGAGGAGGCUUUUCCCUCUACCCGGCCUGAUUGGGAUCCAAAUUCCUCAGGUGGGAAGACAGCUUUGGAUGAUUUUCACCAGUAUCUCCUUGCGGGUAUCAAGGGAGCCACUGGAAAACCCAUGAAUCUGUCCAAGACAACUGAAGUUGUCCAGGGGCCUGAUGAGUCACCAGGAGCGUUUCUAGAAUGCCUCCCAGAGGCCCAUCGGACUUACACCCCUUUUGACCCCGCGGCUCCCGAGAAUAGCUGUGCUAUUGAUUUGGCAUUUAUGACUCAGGCAGCCCCUGAUAUUAAAAGAAAAUUACAAAAGCUGGAAGGAUUUGCUGGAAUGAACACCAGCCAACUUCUUAGAAAUAGCCCAGAAAGUUUAUGACAAUCGAGAGUUUGAAAAGCAAGAACAGGCAGCCCAGGUAGCUGAAAGAACUGCUGACAAAGCAUCAAAAAGACAGGCAAAAAUCUUAGUAGCCACCAUCCAGGGGGGCAAGAAGAAAGGGCCCCCAUCACAAAACACUGGCCAGGGGACCCCGGGUCCCCACCAGAAAGGCCAAAAAGGUGAGUGGGCUCCCCUACAAAGAAACCAGUGCAUGUAUUGCAAACAGAUUGGACACUGGAAAAAGAAAUGCCCAUUAAAACCAGAAGAAAAAACAGAAAAGAAAAAGAUCCUCAUCCUCCCCACUGUGGAGGAAUCUGAUGAUUGACGGGGCUGGGGCUCCCUCUCCCUUGGCCCCCAGGAGCCCAUGGUGACCGUCACAGUUGGGGGCCAGCCUGUACACUUCCUAAUUGACACUGGGGUGGAACAGUCAGUACUGCAAACACCCUUGGGCAGUGUCUCUAAUAAUAAGGUGGCUGUGCAAGGGGCUACUGGAGCUAUUCAGGAAUAUCCUGUCACCCACUCACGAGAGGUGAGUUUGGGACAGAAAAGAGUAACCCACUCGUUUCUUGUGGUCCCAGAGUGCCCCUUCCCCCUCCUCGGACAAGACCUGCUUCAUAAGCUGAAGGCAUCCAUCUCCUUCUCCGCCCAACAAGCUCACCUCACGUUAGGGGACCCAACACCCCCUACCGCCCAGCUCCUGCUAACCACCCCUCUGUUGGAGGAGUAUCUCUUAGUUUCACCCUCACAACCACUGGAGAAUAAAACCAAUCCUCUCCUACUGGAUUUACAGACCCUCUUUCCUCGCGUCUGGGCCGAGUCAAACUGCACGGGACUGGCAAAGCACCAUCUGCCAGUAGUUGUAGAACUCCUGGCCACUGCCCUGCCAGUCCAAGUAAAACAAUAUCCUAUGAGUCAGCAGGCUAGAGAGGGAAUCAGUCCCCAUAUUCAUUGACUAUUACAAGCUGGUAUACUCACACCAUGUCAGUCCACCUGGAAUACUCUAUUUUUGCCAGUCCAGAAACCUGGAACAAAUGAUUACCAGCCAGUACAGGACUUGCGGGAAGUUAACAAGCAGACAGUCACCAUCCAUCCAACUGUCCCUAACCCUUAUACUUUACUCAGCCUGCUUCCACCAGAACAUACAGCAUACAGUGUCCUUGACUUAAAGGAUGCUUUCUUUGCUAUUCCUCUGGCCCCCAAAAGCCAACCUAUCUUUGCUUUUGAAUGGACAGAUCCUGGCUCAGGAGACACCACCCAAUUAACCUGGACUCAGUUACCCCAGGGUUUUAAAAAUUCCCCCACCCUUUUUGGGGAAACCCUCCAACAAGAUCUUAUACCAUUCCGAGCCAGUCACCCUAACUGCACUCUCCUCCAGUACAUGGACGACCUGUUUUUGGCUACUGAAACUACUGACAGCUGCCUGCAACACACUAGGGACCUACUUUACCUCCUUCAGGAACUUGGGUAUUGGGUCUCAGCCAAGAAGGCCUAGCUUUGUCUUCCCAGAGUUUCCUACUUAGGGUACGAGAUAAACAAAGGAAAAAGGGCACUCACUAGUGCUCAAAAGGAAGCCAUCCUGUGGAUCCCCACUCCCACCACCAAGAGACAGGUAUGUGAAUUCCUGGGGGCCGUGGGAUACUGUCAUUUAUGGAUAUUGGGGUUCGCAGAAAUUGCCAAGCCCCUGUAUUCUGCUACUGGAGGAAAUGGCCCACUAGUUUGGACUGACAAAGAAGAGCAGGCUUUUCAAAAUUUAAAGAUGGCAUUAACUGAGGCCCCUGCUCUUGCCCUCCCAAAUAUCUCAAAACCAUUUCACCUUUUUGUUCAUGAGAGCCAGGGAUUUGCUAAAGGGGUACUUACUCAGACUUUGGGACCAUGGUGAUGCCCAGUGGCCUAUAUAUGUCUGAAAGACUGGACCCUGUGGCCUCUGGGUGGCCAAGUUGUCUAUGAGCCCUAGGGGCAACAGCAAGCCUGGUCCAGGAGGCUGAUAAACUUACUCUGGGCCUGAAUUUAACACUUACAGCUCCUCAUGCCAUAGAGAAUUUGCUACGAAGUGCUUCUGGCAAAUGGAUGUUGCGUGCUCGCAUCCUACAAUAUCAGAGUUUACUGUUAGAUCAGUCUUGUUUAACUUUCUCUCCCACAAGGUGUUUAAAUCCAGCUACCUUGCUCCCUGAUCCAGACCUUACCACACCUGUCCAUGACUGCCAAGAACUGUUAGAGACUACAGAAACUGGCUGACCUGAUCUCCAAGAUGUGCCUCUAAAGGAGGCAGAUGCCACUGUGUUUACAGACAGUAGCAGUUUCCUUGAACAGGGAGUAUGAAAGGCUGGUGCAGCCGUUACUAUGGAGACAGAUAUACCGCAGGCCCAGGCACUGCCGGCAGGUAACUUGGCACAGAAGGCUGAAUUGGUCACCCUCACUCAGGCUCUCCGAUGGGGUAAGGACAAACGUAUUGACAUCUACACUGACAGCAGGUAUUCUUUUGCUACUGUACAUGUACACGGAGCCAUCUAUCAAGAGCGAGGGCUACUCACCUCAGCAGGAAAGACUGUUAAAAACAAAGAAGAAAUUUUGGCUCUGCUUGAAGCUGUUUGACUUCUUCAGCAGGUGGCUGUAAUUCAUUGCAAGGGACAUCAAAGAGAAGACUCAGCCGUUGUCUGUGGUAACCAAAGAACAGACUCUGCAGCGGGAGAGUCAGCUCGGCUCCCGGUCAUGCCUUUGACCCUGCUGCCUGCUGUGUCCUUUCCUCAACCUCACUUACCAGACCACCCAGAAUACUCCCCAGAGGAAGAAAAACGAGCUUUGCAUCUUCAGGCCAGUAAAAAUCAGGAAGGUUGGCAGAUUCUUCCUGAUUCCAGAAUCUUCAUGCCCCAAACCCUCAGGAAAACUUUAAUAGUCGUCUGCAUUCUACCACCCAUUUGGGAGGAGUAAAACUGGCCCAGGUUCUAAGGAGCCAUUUCAAGAUCCCCCACCUUCAGGACUUAACUAACCAAGCAGCUAGCUCUCCAGUGUAUGGCUUGUGGUCAGGUAAAUGCCAAACAAGGUCCCAAGCCCAGCCCAGGCCACCGCCUCCAGGAAGGCUUGCCAGGAGAAAGGUGGGAAGUUGACUUUACAGAAAUGAAACCACAGCAGGCAGAGUAUAAAUACCUCCUAGUGCUAGUAGACACCUUUUCAGGAUGGACUGAGGCAUUUGCCACCAAAAACGAAACUGCCACCACGGCAGUUAGGCUUUUACUCAAUGAAAUCAUCCCUCGACCUGGGCUGCCUGUUGCCAUAGGGUCUGAUAAUGGACCAGCCUUCACCUCGUCCAUAGCUCAGUUGGUUAGCAAGACAUUAAACAUUCAAUGGAAACUCCAUUGUGCCUAUCGACCCCAGAGCUCUGGACAGGUAGAACACAUGAGCUGCACCCUAAAAAGUACUCUUACUAAGUUAAUCCUAGAGACCGGUGAGAAUUAGGUAAAGCUCCUUCCUUUAGCCCUUCUUAGAGUAAGAUGCACCCCAUAUUGGGCUGGGUUUUCACCUUUUGAAAUCAUGUAUGGAAGGGCUCCGCCUAUCUUGCCUAAGCUAAGGGAUACCCAUUUAGCAGAAAUCUCACAAGCUAAUUUGUUACAGUACUUGCAGUCUCUCCAACAGGUACGAGUCAUCAUCCAGCCACUUGUCUGGGGAGCACACUCUAAUCCAGCUCCUGACCAGAGUGAGCCCUGCCACUUUUUCCAGCCGGGUGACCUGGUGUAUGUUAAAAAGUUCCAGAAAGAAGGACUCACUCCUGCCUUGAAAGGACCUCAUACUGUCAUCCUCACCAUGCCAAUGACUCUAAAGGUGGAUGGCAUUCCUGCUUGGAUUCAUCACUCUCACAUCAAAAAGGCCAACAGAGCCCAGCAGGAAACUUGGGUCCCCAAGCCUAGGCCAGGCCCUUUAAAACUGUGCCUAAGUUGAGUGAAGCCAUCAAAUUAAUUCUUUUUAUUUACCUCUUUUGUUUGUUUCUGCCUAUUAUACCUUCUGCUCCAUCCUACUCUUUUCUCCUCACUUCUUUCACGACAGGACAUGUGUUUGCAAAAACUACUUGGAAGGCAGGAACCUCAAAGGAAGUCUCUCUUGCAGUCGAUUUAUGUGCUUUGUUCCCAGAGCCUGUCUGUACCCACGAAGAACAAUGCAACCUGCCGGUCAUGGGAGUGGGAAAUGUCGACCUUGCUGCAGGAUGUGGACACACAGGAAGCUGGACUGGAUGUGGGAUCUCUAGAGGUGCAGAAAAAGGACUCCAGAGCGUUGACUUUUACCUCUGUCCUGGAAAUCGCCCUGACUCCUCUAGCUGUCGAGAUUCUUACCAGUUUUUCUGCCCUCACUGGUCGUGUGUAACCCUAGCCAUUUUCCCUGGAGGAUCAACCCGGUCCUCAACCCUCUCCAUAACUCGCACUUCCCGUCCUAGACCGUGAACUAUGGGAAAUUGUAACCCUCUUACUAUAACUGUCCGUAACCCUGGUUCAGCUCAAUGGUAUUAUGGCAUGUCAUGGGGAUUAAGACUUUGUAUCUCAGGAUUUGAUGUUGGAACUAUGUUCACCAUUCAGAAAAAGGUCCUGGUCCCAUGGAGCCCUCCUAAGCCAAUCGGACCUUUAACUGAUUUAGGUGACCCUAUGUUCCAAAGACACCCAGACAGGGUCGAUUUAACUAUCCCGCUGCCCCUCCUUGUUCCCAGAUCUCAGUUACAACGACAUCUCCAACCCAGCCUGAUGUCCAUUCUGGAUGGGGUGCAUCACCUCCUUAAUCUCACCCAGACUAAAUUAGCCCAGGAUUGUUGGUUGUGCCUAAAGGCCAAACCCCCACGUUAUGUUGGAUUAGGAGUAGAAGCCAUGAUUAAAAUUGACUCUCUUUCUUGUCGUACAUGCCCCCAUGCCCUUACACUAGGAGACGUGUCAGGGAACGCCUCCUGUCGAAUUAGCACCAGGUAUAACUUAUCUGCUUCUCCCUUUCAGGCUACCUGUAAUCAGUCUCUACUUACUUCCUUAAACACCUCAGUCUCCUACCAGGCACCCAACAAUACCUGGCUGGCCUACACUUCAGGCUCACUCAUUGCAUCAAUGGGACUGAACCUGGACCUCUCCUGUGCGUGUUAGUUCAUAUACUGCCCCAAGUUUACGUGUACAGCGGGUCAGAAGGGUGACUUCUCAUCGCUCCCCCUGAGUUACAUUCCAGGUUUCGCAGAGCCGCCCCACUCUUCGUACCCCUUCUGGCCAGCCUUAGCAUAGCUGGAUCAGCAGCCAUUGGCACGGCUGCCCUGGUUCAGGGAGAAACUGGACUAAUGUCUCUGUCUCAGCAAGUAGAUGCUGAUUUAAGCAAUCUCCAGUCAGCCAUAAAUAUGCUACAUACCCAGGUAGAGUCUCUAGCUGAAGUAGUACUUCAAAACCCCCGAGGCCUAGAUCUGCUAUUUCUCUCCCAAGGAGGGUUAUGCGCAGCUCUAGGAGAGAGUUGUUGUUUCUAUGCCAAUCAGUCUGGGGUCAUAAAGGAUACUCUCCAAAAAGUUCGAGAAAAUCUAGAUAGACGCUAACAGGAAUUGGAAAAUAACACCCCUGGUACCAAAACAUGUUUAACUGGAAUCUAUGGCUAACUACUCUAAUCACUGGAUUGGCGGGACCCCUUCUCCUCCUCUUGUUAGGUUUAGUCUUCGGGCCUUGUAUAUUAAAUUGGUUUCUUAAAUUUAUAAAGCAGUUCAUAGCUUCUGUCAAACUUACGUAUCUUAAAACCCAAUAUAACUCCCUUGUUGUGACUGAAGAAUCAAUGAUUUGAUUACCCAAAACAUGAGUGGGGAAUGUGAUACCUACCCUGUUUUAACCUGCCCCAAGUUUACGUGUACAGUGGGUCAGAAGGGUGACUUCUGACCCUUCUGCUCAGAGUGACUCUCUCUUAGCUGAGAUAGCUGGACACUCUCCAUUUUAGCUUCUUCACUUGCAGUCCCCUUAUCCCCCUCCCUUAAGGGAAUAACUAGUGCAAGCUGACUCCAAGCACAUCCAGGAAUGCACUUACUGAUAAGAUAUUGAGGCAAGCUGUACCAGCAGCUCCUGGGGACGUGCUCGGCGGAUGGUACCCAAGCCCCUGCAUUUAUCUCUUUGUGAUAGUUUAAGCCCCUGCACCUGGAACUGUAUUUUUCUGUAACUAUCUCUGUAACCAUUAAUUUUUUUAACUUUUUGCCUGUUCUGCUUCUGUAAAAAUUGCUUCAAGUAGGCUCCCCCUCCCCUAUUUAGACCAUGGUUUAAAAAGAAAUCUAUC